AAAUUGAAGAGUUUGAUCAUGGCUCAGAUUGAACGCUGGCGGCAGGCCUAACACAUGCAAGUCGAACGGUAACAGGAAGCAGCUUGCUGCUUUGCUGACGAGUGGCGGACGGGUGAGUAAUGUCUGGGAAACUGCCUGAUGGAGGGGGAUAACUACUGGAAACGGUGGCUAAUACCGCAUAACGUCGCAAGACCAAAGAGGGGGACCUUCGGGCCUCUUGCCAUCAGAUGUGCCCAGAUGGGAUUAGCUUGUUGGUGAGGUAACGGCUCACCAAGGCGACGAUCCCUAGCUGGUCUGAGAGGAUGACCAGCCACACUGGAACUGAGACACGGUCCAGACUCCUACGGGAGGCAGCAGUGGGGAAUAUUGCACAAUGGGCGCAAGCCUGAUGCAGCCAUGCCACGUGUAUGAAGAAGGCCUUCGGGUUGUAAAGUACUUUCAGCGGGGAGGAAGGUGUUGUGGUUAAUAACCGCAGCAAUUGACGUUACCCGCAGAAGAAGCACCGGCUAACUCCGUGCCAGCAGCCGCGGUAAUACGGAGGGUGCAAGCGUUAAUCGGAAUUACUGGGCGUAAAGCGCACGCAGGCGGUCUGUCAAGUCGGAUGUGAAAUCCCCGGGCUCAACCUGGGAACUGCAUUCGAAACUGGCAGGCUUGAGUCUUGUAGAGGGGGGUAGAAUUCCAGGUGUAGCGGUGAAAUGCGUAGAGAUCUGGAGGAAUACCGGUGGCGAAGGCGGCCCCCUGGACAAAGACUGACGCUCAGGUGCGAAAGCGUGGGGAGCAAACAGGAUUAGAUACCCUGGUAGUCCACGCCGUAAACGAUGUCUACUUGGAGGUUGUGCCCUUGAGGCGUGGCUUCCGGAGCUAACGCGUUAAGUAGACCGCCUGGGGAGUACGGCCGCAAGGUUAAAACUCAAAUGAAUUGACGGGGGCCCGCACAAGCGGUGGAGCAUGUGGUUUAAUUCGAUGCAACGCGAAGAACCUUACCUGGUCUUGACAUCCACAGAACUUUCCAGAGAUGGAUUGGUGCCUUCGGGAACUGUGAGACAGGUGCUGCAUGGCUGUCGUCAGCUCGUGUUGUGAAAUGUUGGGUUAAGUCCCGCAACGAGCGCAACCCUUAUCCUUUGUUGCCAGCGGUCCGGCCGGGAACUCAAAGGAGACUGCCAGUGAUAAACUGGAGGAAGGUGGGGAUGACGUCAAGUCAUCAUGGCCCUUACGACCAGGGCUACACACGUGCUACAAUGGCGCAUACAAAGAGAAGCGACCUCGCGAGAGCAAGCGGACCUCAUAAAGUGCGUCGUAGUCCGGAUUGGAGUCUGCAACUCGACUCCAUGAAGUCGGAAUCGCUAGUAAUCGUGGAUCAGAAUGCCACGGUGAAUACGUUCCCGGGCCUUGUACACACCGCCCGUCACACCAUGGGAGUGGGUUGCAAAAGAAGUAGGUAGCUUAACCUUCGGGAGGGCGCUUACCACUUUGUGAUUCAUGACUGGGGUGAAGUCGUAACAAGGUAACCGUAGGGGAACCUGCGGUUGGAUCACCUCCUUA
Molecule: ribosomal RNA, 1542 nt
Filed under: Salmonella enterica
Lineage: Bacteria; Pseudomonadati; Pseudomonadota; Gammaproteobacteria; Enterobacterales; Enterobacteriaceae
Also listed under: 1 other name
Description: bacterial SSU rRNA
Rfam family: Bacterial small subunit ribosomal RNA
Source: RNAcentral